AACGAACGCUGGCGGCAUGCCUAACACAUGCAAGUCGAACGAGACCUUCGGGUCUAGUGGCGCACGGGUGCGUAACGCGUGGGAACCUGCCCUUAGGUUCGGAAUAACUCCCCGAAAGGGGUGCUAAUACCGGAUAAUGUCUUCGGACCAAAGAUUUAUCGCCUUUGGAUGGGCCCGCGUUGGAUUAGCUAGUUGGUAGGGUAAAAGCCUACCAAGGCGACGAUCCAUAGCUGGUCUGGGAGGAGGAUAAGCCACGAUGGGACUGAGACACGGCCCAGACUCCUACGGGAGGGAGGAGUGGGGAAUAUUGGACAAUGGGCGAAAGCCUGAUCCAGCAAUGCCGCGUGAGUGAUGAAGGCCUUAGGGUUGUAAAGCUCUUUUACCCGGGAUGAUAAUGACAGUACCGGGAGAAUAAGCUCCGGCUAACUCCGUG
RNAcentral lists this ribosomal RNA (433 nucleotides) under uncultured bacterium. RNAcentral's name for it is "partial 16S ribosomal RNA". It matches the Rfam family "Bacterial small subunit ribosomal RNA", at positions 29 to 507 of the family's 1533-position model. The record is from RNAcentral.